UGUCAGGUAAGUUCUGACCCGCACGAAAGGCGCAAUGAUCUGGGAGCUGUCUCAACCAUAGACUCGGUGAAAUCUUAAUACCUGUGAAAAUGCAGGUUACCCGCGACAGGACGGAAAGACCCCAUGGAGCUUUACUGUAACUUGAUAUUGACAUUAGGUGAUGUAUGUAGAGGAUAGGUGGUAGACUUUGAAGCUAAGAUGCUAGUUUUAGUGGAGUCACCCUUGGAAUACCACCCUUACAUUACUUGAUUUCUAACUCGCAACCAUUAUCUGGUUGGAGGACAGUGUCUGGUGGGCAGUUUGACUGGGGCGGUCGCCUCCUAAACAGUAACGGAGGCGCCCAAUGGUUCCCUCAGAAUGGUUGGAAAUCAUUCAUAGAGCGUAAUGGCACAAGGGAGCUUGACUGCGAGACCUACAAGUCGAGCAGGUGCGAAAGCAGGGCAUAGUGAUCAGGCGGUAGAAUAUGGAAUUGCCGUCGCUUAACGGAUAAAAGUUACCCUGGGGAUAACAGGCUGAUACCACCCAAUAGUUCACAUAGACGGUGGUGUUUGGCACCUCGAUGUCGGCUCGUCACAUCCUGGAGGUGGAUUCGCUUCCAAGGGUUGGGCUGUUCGCCCAUUAAAGUGGCACGCGAGCUGGGUUCAGAACGUCGUGAGACAGUUCGGUCCCUAUCCGUCGUGGGCGCAGGAAAAUUGAGGAGAGCUGAUCCUAGUACGAGAGGACCGGAUUGGACAUACCUAUGGUGUAUCUGUUGUAACGCCAGUUGCAGUGCAGAGUAGCUAUGUAUGGACAGGAUAACCGCUGAAAGCAUAUAAGCGGGAAGCCCCUUCCAAGAUGAAUUUUCCCAUAUGUAUAUAGUAAGAACCCUUGCAGACUACAAGGUUGAUAGGCUGGAGAUGGAAGAAUAGCAAUAUUUUGAGUUGACCAGUACUAAUAGUUCGAGGAUUUAAUCCCA
This 955-nucleotide ribosomal RNA is filed under the name Mollicutes bacterium. RNAcentral's name for it is "partial 23S ribosomal RNA". It matches the Rfam family "Bacterial large subunit ribosomal RNA", at positions 1970 to 2925 of the family's 2925-position model. The record is from RNAcentral. Lineage: Bacteria; Bacillati; Mycoplasmatota; Mollicutes.